Molecule: long non-coding RNA, 6897 nt
Organism: Manduca sexta (tobacco hornworm)
Lineage: Eukaryota; Metazoa; Arthropoda; Insecta; Lepidoptera; Sphingidae
Exons: 3
Source: RefSeq, a predicted model, not a curated record
CGUCCCUGCAUGUUGGACUCUGAUCUGACCUUUUAAUUGUUUUCAGUGACAUAUAGCAGAUCCCAACGUGGCAAGCGGUUGUUGUGCGUAGAUGGAUACAAAUUCCGUUUUCAAUGUGUCGCAGGACGGAAAAACCGAUGGUGACAUUCGUUAAAUCCAAACGCGGGAAGACCUUACUGAAGCUUGAUGGCUACACAUUCUAUUCCAAAGUGGUAAAUGGUCCGAAAACCCGAUGGGUAUGUUCCACCCACAACAACAAGGGAUGCCGGGCGACCGUAUACACGUGUGACAACAAAAUAAUAAAGAUGAAGAAUGAACAUCAACACGCAACUCAGCAAAAUAUGAUCGAUGGUCAAAAACGGUAUUUGUGUACAGAGAACGUGCAUUCUGGAAGAUCGCUGAUGAUAAAGCACCGUCGUAAAUAAAACAAGCAUUUCAUACCACUGUUCAAAAAACCGGUAUAUAUAACUCAGUAAACGGCACAAAUCAUGAGCACAGUUGAUCUAUACCAGCCAUACUCAAUCUUUUUUUAAAGGGGCCACAAAACGUUUCGGUCUUGCAGAUUGCAGAUUGCAGAAAUUGCAGAUGUAUUAAUUAUUGAAAAAGAAAAUCCGGUCACAAUAAAGCCAGCUAUACAAUACAUGAUUUUCUGAUGGGUGCGAAAUUUAAAAACUUUGCCUGUAAAUCAAGAUGGGCCAAUCACAAGGGUCCGGCGGGCCGCAGGUUGAGUAUGGCUGAUCUAUACUAUCCACUUUCAUGCAAUUUCAUUGUAAAAAAAGAAUUUUCCAAAUCGGUUCAUAAAUGAGCGAGUUCUGAGGUAACAAACAUACAAAAAAAAAUUCACGUCGAAUUGAUAACCUCCUCCUUUUUUUGAAGUCGGUUAAAAAUUAAAUGUAAGUAUAGUAGCCAAUAAACAAUCAGCAUCAAUUAAAGAACCAAUCACGCGAAACAUCGGCGCGUUGGAUGUCCAACCGACCAAUCACGGGUGUGCUCACGACUCGUGCCUUCAUUUCUGACGAUGUUAAAUUCCGAUAUUUCCCUAGCCAAAUAUAAAUAUUUAAUAUCGAAAUUAAGCUUUGAGCUAACAUGCGAUAGAAUAGAUAUUAAAAUAAAUAUCUUUAAUUGUUAUUUUAUUAAAUUAUUUUUAUUAUUGUUAACACCUCAAAUAAUUCAGUGCAAUGGACUUCUUAUAUGGUUCUUGUUUAAUAUGCCAUUUUAUUUUAUUUAUAAAUAUUUAAAGAAAACUAUGUAUUGUUAUAAUAUUGUAUAGUUAAAAAUAUAUGUAUAUAUACAUUUUUGUACCAAUUCUUUGUCUUAAUUGGUGUGUACAAAAAAAAUCAGUUGGAGAAGUAAUUGAUUUUUAUUUUUAAACACAUUAUAUUUUGUUAUAAGUGGGCCUUAAUUGCCUAAAAUAUGUCAAUAUAAUAUAAAUAUGCAACCAUAGUCCCUUUCCAAAAUGUUCUGCCUAGAUGAAUGUUUUACGUUUGUCAAUAAUCAUAACGUAUGUUGAUCAUCAGAAUAGAUAAUUCAGCUUUGUAUAGUUCUACAGUAAAUAAGGUGAUAGCAUUUGAAGGACAUAGCAUUAUAAAACUUAACAUCAAAUCUAGAUCAAAAAAGCAAAGUUUUGUAACAUCUCUUUAAAUACUACUAAAAAACAGUUCUCAGAACUCAUUUUAAUUGUAUCAGUACUUACUACUCGUCUUAGUCUAACAAUACCCAAAUGCUAGUUAUUUAACACAUAUACCUCACGUCUUAUUCCCGAAGAGGUACCCAGAGGUGCAACCAGCGCACCCACUUUCCGCCAUUGUUCCGUUCCGUUGAUAGGGGCUAACCAAACGCCAUAUCAGACAUAAAUUCUAGUUUUUAUUACAGAAACAGAAACGCAGUAUCACAUGCCUGACCCGGAAUUCGAACACCGGACCUCAUAGCAGUGUCGCACACAUUACAACUACGCCACCAAGGCUAGUUACUUAAUAGGUACUAAUUUGCAUUUUUUCCAGUGACCUACGUCAAGUCCAAACGAGGCAAGCCGCUGCUGAGUGUGGAAGGAUACACAUACUACGCAAAAUCUGUGACUGGACUGAGGACUAGAUGGGUGUGCUCUACACACUGCCGCAGGGGAUGUCGAGCCACCGUGCAGACUUUCGACAAAGAAAUUAUAAAAAUUAAUGAUCAUCACCAGCAUUAGUCCUGUCUUAAAGAUUACUAGAUCGAAUUAUUGGAAGCCUGCAUCCAGCAAGUUCCUGGGACCUGUUAUUGCAUUUGAAAAGCGAGACGAGCUUGCCAGUCGCCUAAUUGUGAACAAUACAACCGUCUAUAAAUAUUUGAAACACCAUACACAACUUUGAAUUACAACCCACUACGUACCAACCCGCUGAGCUAGUCACCUUAAUACAUAAUAAUAUGUUAAUAUUCAUUAUGCGCUCUCCCAAAAUUACUAUGUAAAUUGGAAUACAACAGUGCAUUCACACUGCUGCGUAGCAAUGGAAAUAGACAAUGCGGUGGUACCAGUCCAUUCGGCUCCUCGUUCUCGAGAAACCUACGACGACCACAUGAAGUCAUCUGUCCACCUUAAAGAUGAUGUUUAACCCUAUGCUUGCCAGUAAGUGGUUUCCAUGGGAAAAAAAUGCCCCUUUUGCUGUCAGGUCUGUUUUUUUAAACAGUGAAACAAAGGGAGACUGGACUACUUUUUUUCUAAGUUUCAAGCUUUUUGUUCGUAUUUGGGCAGCAAAUACAAACAAAAAGCUCGAAUCUGAAAAAAAUCUGAGUGUCGUCUCCCCUCUCUCCCUCUAAUUAUACCUUGCUUUUUUUAACACGGGGAAUUUACCGAUACUAUUGGAUUUACCUGUCUGUACUGUCCAGCCGACUCGCCAUGCUUUUACUCUCUUGCUUAUAUCUAGGGUCGUGGAGUGCGCAUGCGCAUGUAACCGCACAUUUCGCCUUGAUCCCGUGCUAGUUGUCGGCGUCCUCUCUCUUAGCACGUGCCGAUUGUAUCUAAGUCUAUUUCUUACUUUAAUUGGACUUAUAAGUGUUUUUAAUUUUUUUUCUUUUGAACUAUGUGUGCUUCCUAUGUCUUUAUUAAUAAAAGUUUUCAUUCUAUUUAUAUUUGUUUUACGUAUUUACAGUGUUCGUAAAAAUAAAAUAGUAAGAUAUUUACGUAGAUCAACUCUGUAUUACACAUUAUUUAAAAUUAUAAAGGUUUUCUCGCUACAAGUCUUUAUUUCAAUUAAACGUUUCAAAGCGCCAUUCGUACAGAGCCAGCGUCAUCUCUUUACAAAGACCAGAUUAAAUAUUAAAGAAGAAAAUUACCGGGAUAAAAAGUAACCUAUGUCACCAGGACAUGAUCUACCCGUGUAUCAAAUUUGAUUCAUGUUCAUUUAAGGUUCCUGCGUUUACUUCUAAAACAUUUUCACAAGCGUUCGGAUUGAUGACAUUAGUAAGUAGUUGAAUACAAUGCUAUAAAAAUACCAGAUUUCCGCGUUCAUGCGUAGAAAGUUCUCUUUCACGUUACUUCCUAAUCUUCGGGUACCUAUAGGUAAAAAAAUAUACAACGCCGUUGCAUUGUAUAUUGACAUAGCUAAAACAUUUAAUCUCGAAAUGUUCGGUAAUGCACAACUUUGUACCACGUUUCUGGGUACUAUUUAAAAAAAGUUACCAUCAAGCAAGCUUACUUUAGUUGUAAAAAGGGCCAGUAACUCUCUAAUCUCGGGACGAUCGUAAUACUUGACGGUCUUUAGGUAGUUACUAUUAAACAAUCAUGUCACUUUGUACAAGUUCUUUAGUAUUAGUUUAAUUAAUUACAGAGCUGUUAUUGAUUAAUGUUUUUUCCAGUGACCUACGUCAAGUCCAAACGAGGCAAGCCGCUGCUCAGUGUGGAUGGAUAUACAUACAGCGCGAACUCCGUCUCUGGACUGAGGACAAGAUGGGUUUGUUCUACACACAGCCGUAGAGGAUGUAAAGCCAUCGUCCAGACCUAUGACAAGGAAAUUAUAAGAAUAAUUAAUCAUCAUCAGCAUUAAUAACGUCUACAACCUGUCAAUUUUGUUAGCUUACUCCAGUAUCUCUUACUUUAAUCACUUCCUGAUUGUCUGGUCCUUGGCAACAUACGUAGCGUCACGAGUUCCCCUAUUCCUGGAGUAAACAAAAGUGUUGCCUAGGUAAGGACCACAUCCUAUGAAAUAAGGGACGAACAUUUUGCCAUAUAACGGACAGAAUACCAAUGAUAGUAAACAGAAAACUAUAAGUCUUCUGCUGCAGAUUAUGUUUAUUAUCUUUUUGUUUUGAAUUGUGUGCGCUUUUUAUGUCUGUAUUAUUAAAAUGUUCAUUGUAUUUAUGUUUGUUUAACUUGUUUAUGAUCUUAAGAAUAAAGCUAUUAUGAUACCACCCUUGUAUUAUGCUAUUCUGCUGCUAUGAAGGGGCCUCUACUACUGAGAAUUCCAGUUUUCUCGAGGUGUCGAUUCUUUUGUUUCAUUUUAAUCCUUAUUGCUAUUUAAUAAAGUGUAUUUUUUAAUUCUGGCACGUCAAAGUAACCCCACCUGAUGGUAAGGAACGAGAGGUUCAAUAGAAUGCCGACUAACGAAAUGAUUACUCCUCAGCAGGCGACACAAUUAUGCCAGCCUAUCGCAACUGGAUAAACAUAGACUGAUCCAGGAACGCGACACACUUACGUGGGCCACUAUGCCGGGUUUUAACACCUAUAUAGUAUUUGGUAUUUGAAUGUAACUUUUCCUGUUUUCAGCGAAAUUUGUGAUGUCAAAACGAGGGAAGCCGUUACUAAGCAUUGAUGGAUAUACGUUCUGCAUACAGGCGCGAAACGGUAUGAAGACCAGAUGGGUGUGUUCCACGCACAACACUAAGAAAUGUAGAGCCUCCGUCACCAUGUAUAACAACGAAAUUAUCAAAUUAAACACCAAUCAUCUACAUUGAAUUGGACGUAAAGAUGAUAAAGCUAAAGCCACAUGCUCGCCAAAGACUUUAUUUAUGAAAUACCAAGAUUUUUUUAAAGGAUCGACUGUCCAAUCUACCAUUUUUUUUCGGACACGGCAAAUCUGCUCCACUGCACUUCAUAAUAAGUGAAAUGACGCCAUAGAGUAUCAAUUGAACAAACGAUUCUUAUUAUAUAAAACGGUAAACUAACCUAAUUGAUCAGAUAUAUUCGAAAUCAAGUAUUAAAAACUAAUCUCAAAUUACAUGUGUUUUUGGAACUGUUUAACAGCGUCAAAUUUAAAUUUAAUUGGUGUCGGUACUAUUGCAAUAGUUGUUAUUAAUAAAUAUGUUUUUAUUAAUAAUUAUUAUUAUCAAUUAUGAAGACUUAUAAAUAGUGGUCAUGAGAAGUCAAGAUAAAAAGUUAUACAUAUAGAAUAAUUUCUAUGAACAUCCAGCAGAAUAAGAAGAGUUCUAAAAAUAAUGCUUGCUUUGUCUAAGACUGAAUUUACAAUCAGUCAAAUACGUAAAAUCGAAACGCGGGAAGACGUUGAUAAGUAUUGAUGGAUAUACAUUCUGCGCCCAGUCAGUGAUUGGAAUGAAGACACGCUGGAUAUGCUCCACCCACAACAACAAACGAUGUCGCGCCAGCUUGCACACCUUUGACAACGAAAUUGUGAAGAUGAAGAAUGAUCACAACCAUUAAUCUUAUACAUGUAAUGAACCUUGAAUCAUGAGCCUUAUGAGGUCCACUGCUGGACAUAGGAAUCUUAAAGAUAACCAUAAGAACCUCUCCAAUGCGGCCUGCAUCACAUACCCUUUACAGCACUUGACUUCGUGUGACUGAAUUAUGAAAUUAUGAGCCUUUUAUUCGUAUAUAAUCAACAUUCAAUAUCCUUAGAUUAUAUUCAUUCUCUUUGUAAAUAAACAUUUUAAUACUUUUUAAUUUUAUAUUUAUCGAUAAAAUUUCAUUAGUAGCCCAUUUUACUACUGAAUCAUGUAGGACACUAUGGAAUGGAGUACUAGUUUGUACCAAAUCAAGACCAUUAUAUGGGAAUUGCAUUAAAAAUCGUAAAAUUUUUGUUUACCGUCAGAAAGGGAGAUGGACUUGCGCUCUAUCAUGGAUAGGAUGUAACUUGGUAGUGUCGGGGUAUCUAUGGCGGCUUUUGCAUAGCCUUUUGAGGGUAGUACGUGUGAGCGACCGUCAAUGAAUCCUUUUUGAUCCAAUAGCCUGGUCAGUGGGUCUCCAACGAUGGGUGAAGAGGAUGGAGAAUGAAUGCGAGUAGAGUAAGCUGUUCGAACAUGUGCAGGUGUAUUUUAUACGCGACGACGCCGCGUGUUUUAAGACGCGUGCUACAGUUGUUGCGCCUCGUCCUACUUCUUCAGGGUUAAAUGGCGUGAAUAUGUAAAUGUGUGAUUAAAUAAGUUAAAUAAAAAUGUAACCAAGAUAAUAUGUAAUAAAAUACAAUUUAAUAUUAUAGCGAAAAUAGAAACUCUCAUUCAAUUCCUCAAUGCUACACAUUAUGACUAAUAUUCUGGAGUGUGCGUUUGAUACUUGUCUUCAAGGCUUGUAAAAUGCGCUGUUUUGAUAAGUACUUAUUGAUUUAAAUUUUUAGCAUCAUACGUCAUGUCUCGUCGUGGGAACCGGCUACUGAGUGUAGAUGGAUAUACCUUUUAUACUAAAGUGGCUACAGGAUUGAAGAAGAGAUGGGAAUGCUCGACACAUAACACUAAGGGAUGCAGAGCCAUGGUACACACGUAUGAAGAUGUAAUAGUUAAAUUAAACAAUUUUCAUACGCAUUAAACGCCCUUUAUUCAUUAAAAUAAGUCUUAUUUAGAGAAAAAUGUUUUUGAAUUUUGAAAUUAUACCAUAAAAAUAAAAUGUGUUUUUCUGAUCAGUAUCAAUAACCGAAUUACGCUAAAUGAUUUGUUAUGUUAACGCGACUGUUAGAAAUAAAACUAUUUUCCAGAUUU